UACAGAGGUCUCAAGCGUUGUUCGGAUUCAUUGGGCGUAAAGGGUGCGUAGGCGGCGCGGUAAGUCGGGUGUGAAAUCUCGGAGCUUAACUCCGAAACUGCAUUCGAUACUGCCGUGCUUGAGGACUGGAGAGGAGACUGGAAUUUACGGUGUAGCGGUGAAAUGCGUAGAUAUCGGGAGGAACACCAAUGGCGAAGGCAGCUUGCUGGGACGGUACUGACGCUGAGACGCGAAAGCGUGGGGAGCAAACAGG
This 253-nucleotide ribosomal RNA is filed under the name uncultured bacterium. RNAcentral's name for it is "partial 16S ribosomal RNA". It matches the Rfam family "Bacterial small subunit ribosomal RNA", at positions 524 to 776 of the family's 1533-position model. The record is from RNAcentral.